RNAcentral lists this ribosomal RNA (419 nucleotides) under bacterium. Its description in RNAcentral is "partial 16S ribosomal RNA". It matches the Rfam family "Bacterial small subunit ribosomal RNA", at positions 355 to 776 of the family's 1533-position model. The record is from RNAcentral.
UGGGGGAUAUUGCACAAUGGGCGAAAGCCUGAUGCAGCGACGCCGCGUGGGGGAUGAAGGCCUUCGGGUUGUAAACUUCUUUUGCUCUGAACAAGGCGCACCAUGGGGUGUGUUGAGUGUAGGGGUUGAUUAGCGCCGGCUAACUACGUGCCAGCAGCCGCGGUAAUACGUAGGGCGCGAGCGUUGUCCGGAAUUAUUGGGCGUAAAGGGCUUGUAGGUGGCUGGUUGCGUCUGUCGUGAAAGCUCAUGGCUUAACUGUGGGUUUGCGGUGGGUACGGGCUGGCUUGAGUGCAGUACUGGAGGCUGGAAUUCCUGGUGUUGCGGUGGAAUGCGCAGAUAUCAGGAGGAGUACCGGUGGCGAAGGCGGGUCUCUGGGCUGUUACUGACACUGAGGAGCGAAAGCAUGGGGAGCGAGCAGG